RNAcentral lists this long non-coding RNA (3265 nucleotides) under Bemisia tabaci. Its description in RNAcentral is "lncRNA ENSASIAIIG012150". The record is from RNAcentral. Lineage: Eukaryota; Metazoa; Arthropoda; Insecta; Hemiptera; Aleyrodidae.
UGUAUAUCGUGCCAUUACAUCGGGGGAACCCGCGGAUGAUCUCGAAUAUAAAUAGGAGGAAAUAUAAACAAAUCGGGAACUCACUAAGCCACUGCAACAAAAUACACCUGAAUAAAAUUUUUUGUCUAGUUUAUGAGAUGCAAUUUGCGCGAAGUGUCAAGUGUUAAAAUUGUAAUGUUUUUUCUAAAUCGGCAGAUUCUCUUCAGUUUGCUUGUCGUGGGCCCCAUUUUGUGCUUUGGAAAUGUUGGAGAGUCGAAGCCAAAAACGGGUGAGGCGUGCACUGAGGACUGCCGGCUGAAGGGGUAUUUCCUCGUGAAUGGAGAGGAAAUUUGGCUGACUAAACUCGACGAAAAGCAAUGCGAUUGCCUGCUUACGGAAAAACUGCUUGACUACCUGGGAAAGCGCUUCGAUGCCGACGAAAUCGCGGAGUUUAAGGAUCUAUAUAAACAGUCCGAUGUUCUCGGCCGGACAUGGUUGAAACGGAAAAAGAUCACCGUACAAAUUCCGGGGACUGAAUUAUUCCCGCUGCAUUCAGAAGGGAAGGGAAACAAAACAGAGCAGGGCAAGGAUCACUCCAAAGUUAAAGGACUGGUUCGAUCCAACCGGAUUACAGAGGAGUCUACGGAAGCCGCGAAGAUAGCGGGCUGCGAAGCGGAGUGCAAUAAAGCGCUGGGCUACGUCGUGCGUAAAGGGGAGCCCAAAACGCCGGUCUCCGUCGAGGCCUACAAUAAAACCGGGGACUACUGCCAGUGCCGAAAAAACCCAAUUAUCGUCGCCCUCCUCAGAGCUAAGUUACCUGACACGGGGAGCAACGAGUACAUAGAGGUCUUUGGAUGUAGAACCGGCCCCGGAUGGGUACACAAAAAUCAAAUCAAUCCCUAUAUAAAUAAACAAUUCCUGAAACGGUUCGGUCUCGAUGUUGAAUUCUCCGCCGACGCUGACGACAAAGCGGAGGAAAUAACAUGGCAGAAGCCGAAACCCCCUGUCCCAGAGGAAUUCAAAGGAGGUGCCGAAGAGUGCAACGCCAAGUGUCAGAAUGGUGAAGGACAUAUUAUCAUCCACCCUGGAGCGGAUCCCAAGGGUGAAGGCAACACCAGCCACCCUGCACUCAAUCCCAAGGGUGGAGGACACACCCACACCAUCCCCCCUGGAGCCAGUCCCAAGGGUGACAAGCAUGCCAUCCUCGACCCGACGGUACUUGAGCCUCAUGCGGUCAAUGCCAAGGCUAAUAAAAGCAAACCCGAUGCCGACAAAGUAAUGUACAUCGCGACUGGAGUCGUGAAGAAAUGGGUUGCGGAAGGAGCAGAGUAUGAUACAUGCAAAUGCGUGGUCAACCAAGAGCUUAUCGAGCACCUUCGUGCCUCUGGAUUGCCCCAACAGGAGUUCGCGACGGCUUUCGAAAAGGGAGCCGACAGCGGUCGCGUUUGGCUCACCAUGCACAACAUCACAGUUUCGUAUCAUAGGCCGGCCUGGGUCGACGAGCUCCCUGAAAAGAGGAAGCGUGCUCAAGAGGAGAAACAGGGGCUGGCUGAAGAGGGAAGCUAACCGAGGAAAAGAGUACGAAGAAGCGACACCGAUUUUUCCGCUUCGGGCGUGGCCACCAAAGUCGUCGUCGGUGAAGGCCACGUCCCGACAGAUCGUUUUCAUGGGAUCCGGUGAUCCUUGAAAUUGAUAGACAAAGCUAUCGACUAAGAGGACAAAAGGGAUCCUGUUCUGUGAGCCGAUUAUUGAAAUUGAUAGACAAAGAAGACAUAGGGGUAUAAAGCAAUCCUAUUGGUUGAAAUGGGUGGUUCUCAUAGACUGAGGGGAAAAUGAUAGACUAACUGUCGGGUCUCUCGUAGGUUGCCGUUAGUUAGUCUAUUACCUACCUCCUUUGUCCAUUGCAACCGCCCGCUUCUGCCAAUAGGAUCCCUCCAAAUCCUUUUUGUCUUCUUUGUCUAUUGCUUUGUCUAUCAAUUUCAACAAUCAGCUCGCUGCCUUGCUAAGAAAGCACGCCGUACGAGCCUUCAGACGUUGCCAAGUUUCCUUCCAUAAAACCCGACUUUAGUGGGAAAAUUGUGCAUAUUUUUUUCUUAAAUUUUCAGACGAUUCUACACGCAAUUCAAUCUAAAAUGCCUGAAAAUUUCAAGGACGAAUAUGCAUAAAUGUCGUCAAAAAUACAUGUUUUAUCAAGCGAGAUUUGGCAACUCUCGAAUGUUGAUACGGCGUUCUUCCUUAGCACGGCAGUAUUGGUGGAAGCAGCGGGUCGAUUGUUGAAUCGUUAUCGAAUGAACUCGAUCGAUAAAUCCCUAUCUUGGCAAUGCUUUUUAUCGAUCGAGGUCAUUCGAUAACGAUUCAACAAUGGACCCGCUGGUGCUUGUAAUGGACAAAGGAGGAAGGUGGUACACUAACCAAGGGUAACCCACGAGAGAAACUAUGCAUGGUUAGUCCAUCGUUUUUUCCCGGAUAGUUUGUAGGAACCACCCAUUUCAACCGAGAGGAUUCCUCCAUACUCCAUACAUCUUCUUUGUCUAUGACUUUGUCUAUCAAUUUCAAAAAUCAUCCGCUGUUCUCAGAGAGAGAUCAAGAGCUGCAGUUUGAAAUACGGGCUGAGUGGCACCCCAUACUUGUACGAGCCGUCUCGGAUUGGCUCAUUCACCGGGUGCCCGCUUUCUGGGGCCCUUAUGGAAAAUAACACAGAGUUAAUUUUUAAUCGAAAUAUCUCGAUAACAAGGAAAAAUUCAUGCGUCGACAUCGGAGAUUUCAGAAACCAAUCCUCCAAAUCUUUCUGAAGCGAUUAAUGGCUUGUACAUGACACGUGUUUCUCAAACACACCGAAUUCUUUUGUAUUUGUAUGACACUGAAAGUCAUAUUACAAGAUGAAAAAACAAAAUUCCAGGUCGAACUGUUCGGAGUGAUUGAGAAAAAAGUGUCAUGUUUAACCUUUCAAUCUCUUUAUAGAAAAAUUUGGAGAGUUCACUUCUAAGAUCUCCGACGCAUGAAUUUUUCUUUGUUAUCGAGAUAUUUUCGAUUAAAAAUAAACUCUGUGUUAUUUUCCAAAAGGGCCCCAGAAAGUGGGCACCAGGCGAAGGAGCUAAUCAGAGACAACUCGUAAACGUAUAGGGGGUGCCACUCGGUCCGUAAUUCAAUCUGCCACGGACUCGUUGUCAAACUUGUACAUACACUAUAAGCAAAAUAAAAAUCAACAUGCGUGCAAAGACAAGACUUGUUUUAUUUGUUCUUUACAUAAUUAUGUAGAAAUAUCCACAAGAUCAGCGGCACAUCG